Molecule: ribosomal RNA, 1153 nt
Filed under: Bacillus velezensis
Lineage: Bacteria; Bacillati; Bacillota; Bacilli; Caryophanales; Bacillaceae
Description: bacterial SSU rRNA
Rfam family: Bacterial small subunit ribosomal RNA
Source: RNAcentral
AAAGGUGGUUUUGGUUACCAUUACAUGGACCCGGGGGCCAUUAGCUAGUUGGGAGGUAACGGUUCACCAAGGGGACGAUGCGUAGCCGACCUGAGAGGGUGAUCGGCCACACUGGGACUGAGACACGGCCCAGAUUCCUACGGGAGGCAGCAGUAGGGAAUCUUCCGCAAUGGACGAAAGUCUGACGGAGCAACGCCGCGUGAGUGAUGAAGGUUUUCGGAUCGUAAAGCUCUGUUGUUAGGGAAGAACAAGUGCCGUUCAAAUAGGGCGGCACCUUGACGGUACCUAACCAGAAAGCCACGGCUAACUACGUGCCAGCAGCCGCGGUAAUACGUAGGUGGCAAGCGUUGUCCGGAAUUAUUGGGCGUAAAGGGCUCGCAGGCGGUUUCUUAAGUCUGAUGUGACAGCCCCCGGCUCAACCGGGGAGGGUCAUUGGAAACUGGGGAACUUGAGUGCAGAAGAGGAGAGUGGAAUUCCACGUGUAGCGGUGAAAUGCGUAGAGAUGUGGAGGAACACCAGUGGCGAAGGCGACUCUCUGGUCUGUAACUGACGCUGAGGAGCGAAAGCGUGGGGAGCGAACAGGAUUAGAUACCCUGGUAGUCCACGCCGUAAACGAUGAGUGCUAAGUGUUAGGGGGUUUCCGCCCCUUAGUGCUGCAGCUAACGCAUUAAGCACUCCGCCUGGGGAGUACGGUCGCAAGACUGAAACUCAAAGGAAUUGACGGGGGCCCGCACAAGCGGUGGAGCAUGUGGUUUAAUUCGAAGCAACGCGAAGAACCUUACCAGGUCUUGACAUCCUCUGACAAUCCUAGAGAUAGGACGUCCCCUUCGGGGGCAGAGUGACAGGUGGUGCAUGGUUGUCGUCAGCUCGUGUCGUGAGAUGUUGGGUUAAGUCCCGCAACGAGCGCAACCCUUGAUCUUAGUUGCCAGCAUUCAGUUGGGCACUCUAAGGUGACUGCCGGUGACAAACCGGAGGAAGGUGGGGAUGACGUCAAAUCAUCAUGCCCCUUAUGACCUGGGCUACACACGUGCUACAAUGGACAGAACAAAGGGCAGCGAAACCGCGAGGUUAAGCCAAUCCCACAAAUCUGUUCUCAGUUCGGAUCGCAGUCUGCAACUCGACUGCGUGAAGCUGGAAUCGCUAGUAAUCGCGG